UACGGAGGGUGCGAGCGUUAAUCGGAAUUACUGGGCGUAAAGCGCGCGCAGGUGGCUUGGCACGCCGGUUGUGAAAGCCCCGGGCUCAACCUGGGAACGGCAUCCGGAACGGCCAGGCUAGAGUGCAGGAGAGGAAGGUAGAAUUCCCGGUGUAGCGGUGAAAUGCGUAGAGAUCGGGAGGAAUACCAGUGGCGAAGGCGGCCUUCUGGCCUGACACUGACACUGAGGUGCGAAAGCGUGGGUAGCAAACAGG
RNAcentral lists this unclassified non-coding RNA (253 nucleotides) under uncultured Halomonadaceae bacterium. Its description in RNAcentral is "contains 16S-23S intergenic spacer region". It matches the Rfam family "Bacterial small subunit ribosomal RNA", at positions 524 to 776 of the family's 1533-position model. The record is from RNAcentral. Lineage: Bacteria; Pseudomonadati; Pseudomonadota; Gammaproteobacteria; Oceanospirillales; Halomonadaceae.